Molecule: long non-coding RNA, 4019 nt
Organism: Alligator mississippiensis (American alligator)
Lineage: Eukaryota; Metazoa; Chordata; Crocodylia; Alligatoridae
Exons: 2
Source: RefSeq, a predicted model, not a curated record
ACAUUGUCUGCUAUUUCUGUAUUAGACACAUUGACUGUAGCAGUCUAGGAAAGGAAGAUACACAGAAAAAUGUAUAAAGCUAAAGGAAGAGAAACUCAAACCAAACCCAAACAUUUCUUAAAAUAUGCAGUGCCUGAUGGUGCUCAGUCACAACAGAUGGACGUGCUGUGGGACCCUACCAGUAUAAGAUGUUCCAUAUAAAGGAGCUUGGGAGGGAAAGAACUAAUUUGCCAACGGCCAAGUGCGUUUUCCAGGAGACAUGACCGGGAAAAGUUUAACUCACAUUAUUAUGCUCUUUGUUGUUGCCUCAGCUCCAGUGGAUUAUUAGUUCCUGCAGAGAUGUCCUCAGGAUCCCUGGAGCAAUCUUAAAAAAUGUACACAAAGACGGGCACCCUUGAAAGAAUAAUGGCUGUUUUUGCUUCAGGCAAUGCUCACACACACUGACCUCUGCUUACAGGUAACACAGACCCUGGGGACCAUGGGAAGGUUUAGAUCCAGAUGAAGACAACCUGGUUGGCACCUAUGGACGUGUCCAGAUGAGCAUGGUCGUGUGGUAUGUGGCACUGCAAACAUGUUUGCAGCACCACAUGCCGUAGAGUCCGGAGGUCUCCAUGCCGCAAGGGCAUGCUGCCCAAGUGUGUGCUGCUGUUUUUUUCCCUAUAGUUUGUUUUUGACCCCUGGAUAUCCUUGGCUGCAGCUCUGGGAGGCUCCCAGGACCCCAGGUAAGGCUGCUGGGGCCAAAACAGUGCUGGCUCCAGCCUCCCCUACAUCAGUGUUUCCCAACGUUUUCCAGUCCAAAGCACACUUACAUUAAUAAAAAUUUUCCGUGGCACACCUGUUAAAGCAUUCCCCAUACUCAUACCUAUUGUAGCUCACUUCCAUGGCAAAAUUCCACGGCAUGCCUGUUCAUUUUCGAUGGCACACUUUUGUGCUGCGGCACACUGGUUGGGAAACACUGCUCUAUGUUACCCAGGGCGAAUAUAUAUAUUGCUGCAUGCAAAAGUGCGCGUGGCACAGGCAUUCCCUAGGGACAAGAAGUGGUGGUGCAAGGUGCACCGCUGCUACUUGUCCCCAGGGAACCAAACAUCCACACACAUCUGGACGUACCCUGUGUGUCUAAUGACAUUGAAUUGGAGUCCCAGCUCAAGCAUCACCAACAUUGCAAUGUUCUGUUCUGACCGGUUUCUUGUAAACCCAGCUGGACUGUAUGGGAAGACUGGGAGUCUACGAAUCACCUUUUACUACAGGGCCCUGCAAGAGACUCCGGGCUUCAGGACUUGUUCAUUCUGCUGUAGUAUUGUCACAUGAGCAGCCUGCCUGCACAUCAGCACACAGUGCUGCUUGUGUCUUGGUGCUACAUUACUGGGAGUCCCGUUUAAAACAAAUCCAGGACUCUAAAUGCCCAGCAGAGUGCUUUUGGGAACUGUAAAUGACUUGCAAACUUAGGUGCAGGUGCUUGCCACCAAUCUCUAACACUGGGCAGGAGUUCAUCAGUCCUUAACAGGAGAGCAAGACCAGCUACAACUAGUACUUAUUGGUUCUAUUGUGUUAGUCGUUAGGAGCUUGGUGGAGCAGGAACCCCUCAUGAUAGAUAACAGAUGGCUAGAUAACAGCUACUGCUUCAUUGUUAUCUGGUUUCACAGACAGCAAGAUGAUUCCUGAUGAAAUAGAGGUACAAAGGAAGCCAAAGUCCAGAUAUUUCCAGGCUGCAGCCCCUUGGUGCAGUGGUGAUGGAAAGAAUUUACGAUAAUUAUGGAAGACUUUGCUACUAAAAAUAUUCACGGCUCUAUUUUUCCUUGAAAAUCUGAAAGUUCAGCACAAGGGUGUGUGCGCCUAUAUAUUUUAGGACAUCCAAUUGGAAUAGAAGAGCAUCCUGUGCAGAAAAAUAAAGAUACAACAGCCAAUUAUGUCCUUGACAACUCUUAAUGGUUAAAUUUAGUUUUAGAAUUGUUUAUUUCCUUUAACAAGUAGCCAAGUGAGGCCUUAUUUCUCAGCCUUAUUCCAAAGCUUUUGGAUCCAGUUUUUACAGUCUUGCUUGUAUUUUUCUGUCUAACUGGGGUAUUUCGUUCUGUUGUAUUUUUUUCAGCUCUAUGACCCACUUGUUUUGUGGGGAAUAUGGAGGGGUAUAUGGUACAGUUUCCCCAUAAUCCUUAGAUCCUAUUGCUGUUGCUCACAUUCUGUACUGUUAUUGCUUAGCACCCAGAGGCUUUAGGGUGCAGACAGAAGUUACAUUUGUUGCAUGGUUGGCUCCCUGAAAGCACUCUACAGCUGUGCCCUUAUAGAAGUGCAUGGCAGAAGAGCACUUUAAAAGUGCCUGAUUGUACGACAGUCUGAACCCUCAUUAAAUGAGGGCUCAGAUGAAAGUGUUCUGAAGUAGAGAGCCUUCAUUAACAUCUGUCAGCCUGUGCUGGGAGCAGGGCUGGGCUGAUACAGCGCAGCCCCACCCCCAGUGCUGUCUUCAGAAUGGGAGGGGGAGAAGGGAGGGGAGGGAGUUCUGUAUGGGGCUCCAUCCACCCACUCCACCCUCCAGCGCAGGUUGGGCAAACCCCAGAUUGAGCUCCUUCUUCUCCCUUCCUCCCUUCCCAUUCUGAAGAUAGCACUGGAUCUGGGGGGUGAGGGGCAGACCUAGGGGAGAAUGGCUGUAGCUGCUCCAAACUGGAUCUUAAUCUCCAACCCCCUGGAACCAACAGCAAAUGUCUGUUGGGUCAUGGGAAAUGCUGUAACUCAUGGUGCUUUGUGUGAAGUGCCAUGAGUUACGGCUGGGAACUGCAUAUCUGUCAGCACCCUUAGUGAGAAUUAGGACGUUAUACAAACUCAGAAUAAAAAAUGAACUGCUCCUCCAAUGAGGCUAUCUUCCUAACGAACAACAGCUUGAACAUUUUCCUUCAUUUUUCUUGCAUGUGUCACUUGUUCAGUGUCUUCAGUUAGAGGAUAUUUUUUUUGGUGAGAGAUGAACCACUUAGUGCUUGAGUCUGAUCUCACUGAAGUCAAAGUGUAGCCAUUGAGUUCAAUGAGACUGGGCCUACUGCAUUGGGAGAUUACAUUCAGAUUAGCACCCAGAAGUUUGUCCUCUCUUUAUCUGUCUGCAAAGCUAGGCUGUGAUUUUCACCUCCUUAUUACAGCAGUGAAUCACAAACUGGUUGGCACUAAAGUAUUAAAAAAUAUCUUAGAAUGUCCCUAUUUUUCCUGCUUUUGGCCAAGUUAGAAUACAGCAAAAGAAAGUCCUGGGAUGGGAUUACAUUGCUUUCCCAUCUAGCCCUAGAUCAGAAGCCUGCAAGCAGCAGGAAAAGUAAAACAACCUUAUCUGGUAAACUUAUAUGAACAUUUUUUUUAACCUGUAUGGAGGUCAUAAGCUCCUGUAGGCCUGGGUUCAAAGUUUGGACUAGUUCUUACUCUAUUUAGAUCCUAUCCCACCUCCCCAUGAUCUACAUGUAUUAUCACUUGAUAUCUCUGAGAAUUUCCCACUGUAAACGAAUGGUCUAUUCUCUCCUGUUGAGCGCGCUGUUGUUUUUAUAGCAUUUGGCCUUGGGUACUAAAUGUCAUAUGUUUGUUAUAGGGUGGUGUAGGUGUUUUGUGUCUUGUGAUAUGUGAGGUGGAAGGAAAUGAGAGUUAAUUAACAGUUUCUUGUGAUUGAGAGUGACUGAACUUGAUGGCCCAGAUCCCUUGCAGUCCUAUUUUGUUGUGCUUUUGCCUUGUACCAUUGUAUUUACAUGCCUCACAUGGAAUAGCUCAUCUUUCUUCACACAAGUCUCUUGUCCUCAAAAAAGAUUUCCCAAAUGCGGGCAGACUAUCCUUAUAGUAAACUUGCUUUAUUCUCGUCCCUGACCUCAGGCACAUCUGGUUACCUGGGAAACUUAAGAAAUUAUCUCUUGCUUCUUUAGUUGUGAGUGGGUCUCUGUAGCUUUUCACAUGUAUGUAUUAUUUUUACUGCCAAGUCUGAAUUCUUUCUGAUAAUAUGCCAUAAUACAAUUUCAGAGCAACUACUGAGAAGCUCUGCAUUAAAAAGAAAUUCAAACAGA